UGGGGAAUUUGGACAAUGGGGAAACCCUGAUCCAGCCAUCCCGCGUGUGCGAUGAAGGCCUUCGGGUUGUAAAGCACUUUUGGCAGGAAAGAAACGUCGCGGGUUAAUACCCCGCGGAACUGACGGUACCUGCAGAAUAAGCACCGGCUAACUACGUGCCAGCAGCCGCGGUAAUACGUAGGGUGCAAGCGUUAAUCGGAAUUACUGGGCGUAAAGCGUGCGCAGGCGGUUCGGAAAGAAAGAUGUGAAAUCCCAGAGCUUAACUUUGGAACUGCAUUUUUAACUACCGGGCUAGAGUGUGUCAGAGGGAGGUGGAAUUCCGCGUGUAGCAGUGAAAUGCGUAGAUAUGCGGAGGAACACCGAUGGCGAAGGCAGCCUCCUGGGAUAACACUGACGCUCAUGCACGAAAGCGUGGGGAGCAAACAGGAUUAGAUACCCUGGUAGUCCACGCCCUAAACGAUGUCAACUAGCUGUUGGGGUCUUCGGACCUUGGUAGCGCAGCUAACGCGUGAAGUUGACCGCCUGGGGAGUACGGUCGCAAGAUU
Molecule: ribosomal RNA, 545 nt
Filed under: uncultured bacterium
Lineage: Bacteria
Description: partial 16S ribosomal RNA
Rfam family: Bacterial small subunit ribosomal RNA
Source: RNAcentral